CCAAUUAUUGCUCAACCCAGUAAACACUAUAAAUAAAUAAAACCAAUAUGAAAACAAAAAAUUAAAAGUCCAUUUACAUAAAUAAGUCCAUUAAACAGUUAAAAGAAACCCAAAAUUACAACCAAACCCAAACCAAGACCCAAACCUAACCUAAGCCCAACUAGCCCAAUCUGAAAGAACCCCUCUGAAACCCUAGCAACC
This 201-nucleotide long non-coding RNA is filed under the name Gossypium raimondii (Peruvian cotton). Its description in RNAcentral is "long non-coding RNA (GRAI_LNC009255)". The record is from RNAcentral. Lineage: Eukaryota; Viridiplantae; Streptophyta; Magnoliopsida; Malvales; Malvaceae.